Rhincodon typus (whale shark) is the source of this 496-nucleotide long non-coding RNA. RefSeq lists it as uncharacterized. Lineage: Eukaryota; Metazoa; Chordata; Chondrichthyes; Orectolobiformes; Rhincodontidae. The transcript has 3 exons. The record is from RefSeq and is a predicted model, not a curated record.
AAGAUCUGCACGUCCUUGUUGAGAGCUUGCAGUUGGGGAAUCUUGAAAGGUUUUGCAGCUGCAGAGAAUGAGUGAUGGCCCACGUAGCCGUCAGAACACAAUUGAAGAUAAAGAUCUCUGUGAAGCAGAACUAAUCCCAGGCAACCUUAAAAGAGACACCUGAUGGCUACAAAACACAAAGCUAAUGAAAAUCCUCAUAGGCUGCACAGAGGCAUGGAACUGAUUCCCUCUCAACUUGAUCUGUACAUGUAAUGUUCAUCGCAGAUGUGACUGAUGGAGCCAGUCAUAGCAAGGCUAACGUUAGAGUGUAGCAAAAUCUCUGAGAAAUAAAAGAGGAACAGAGGCAUCAGCAAGCCCAAGGCCAACAACCACCUACAGCGAACGCCAAAUAGCCUGCACAUGAAUACAUGCAUCUGAAAGGCCCAUCAGGAUAAGCAGGCAAUACAGGAAAGCCAGAGACUAUAGUCCUCACCAUUUCCUCUGGAUGACAGAUGCA